This 253-nucleotide ribosomal RNA is filed under the name uncultured bacterium. RNAcentral's name for it is "partial 16S ribosomal RNA". It matches the Rfam family "Bacterial small subunit ribosomal RNA", at positions 524 to 776 of the family's 1533-position model. The record is from RNAcentral.
UACAGAGGUCUCAAGCGUUGUUCGGAAUCACUGGGCGUAAAGGGUGCGCAGGCGGCGUGGAAAGUCAGAUGUGAAAUCCGGGGGCUCAACCUCCGAAUUGCAUCCGAUACUCCCAUGCUAGAGAACUGGAGAGGAGUCUGGAAUUCUCGGUGUAGCAGUGAAAUGCAUAGAUAUCGAGAGGAACACUAGUGGCGAAGGCGAGACUCUGGACAGUAUCUGACGCUCAUGCACGAAGGUCAGGGUAGCGAACGGG